RNAcentral lists this ribosomal RNA (259 nucleotides) under uncultured prokaryote. RNAcentral's name for it is "partial 16S ribosomal RNA". It matches the Rfam family "Bacterial small subunit ribosomal RNA", at positions 524 to 782 of the family's 1533-position model. The record is from RNAcentral.
UACGGAGGAUCCGAGCGUUGUCCGGAUUUAUUGGGUUUAAAGGGUGCGUAGGCGGAAAUGUAAGUCAGUGGUGAAAUCCUGCAGCUUAACUGUAGAAUAGCCGUUGAAACUGUGUUUCUUGAGUACAUUUGAGGUAGGCGGAAUGUGGUGUGUAGCGGUGAAAUGCAUAGAUAUACCACAGAACACCGAUUGCGAAGGCAGCUUACUGGGUCAUUACUGACGCUGAUGCACGAAAGCGUGGGGAUCAAACAGGAUUAGA